Molecule: ribosomal RNA, 374 nt
Filed under: uncultured Kluyveromyces
Lineage: Eukaryota; Fungi; Ascomycota; Saccharomycetes; Saccharomycetales; Saccharomycetaceae
Description: eukaryotic LSU rRNA
Rfam family: 5.8S ribosomal RNA (bases 1-64)
Source: RNAcentral
UCGAAUCUUUAGAACGCACAUUGCGCCCUCUGGUAUUCCAGGGGGCAUGCCUGUUUGAGCGUCAUUUCUCUCUCAAACCUUUGGGUUUGGUAGUGAGUGAUACUCGUCUCGGGUUAACUUGAAAGUGGCUAGCCGUUGCCAUCUGCGUGAGCAGGGCUGCGUGUCAAGUCUAUGGACUCGACUCUUGCACAUCUACGUCUUAGGUUUGCGCCAAUUCGUGGUAAGCUUGGGUCAUAGAGACUCAUAGGUGUUAUAAAGACUCGCUGGUGUUUGUCUCCUUGAGGCAUACGGCUUUAACCAAAACUCUCAAAGUUUGACCUCAAAUCAGGUAGGAGUACCCGCUGAGCUUAAGCUUAUCAAUAAGCGGAGGAAUC